AUUGAACGCUGGCGGCAGGCCUAACACAUGCAAGUCGAGCGGAUGAAGGGAGCUUGCUCCUGGAUUCAGCGGCGGACGGGUGAGUAAUGCCUAGGAAUCUGCCUGGUAGUGGGGGAUAACGUCCGGAAACGGGCGCUAAUACCGCAUACGUCCUGAGGGAGAAAGUGGGGGAUCUUCGGACCUCACGCUAUCAGAUGAGCCUAGGUCGGAUUAGCUAGUUGGUGGGGUAAAGGCCUACCAAGGCGACGAUCCGUAACUGGUCUGAGAGGAUGAUCAGUCACACUGGAACUGAGACACGGUCCAGACUCCUACGGGAGGCAGCAGUGGGGAAUAUUGGACAAUGGGCGAAAGCCUGAUCCAGCCAUGCCGCGGGUGUGAAGAAGGUCUUCGGAUUGUAAAGCACUUAAGUUGGGAGGAAGGGCAGUAAGUUAAUACCUUGCUGUUUUGACGUUACCAACAGAAUAAGCACCGGCUAACUUCGUG
Molecule: ribosomal RNA, 483 nt
Filed under: uncultured bacterium
Lineage: Bacteria
Description: partial 16S ribosomal RNA
Rfam family: Bacterial small subunit ribosomal RNA
Source: RNAcentral